RNAcentral lists this ribosomal RNA (497 nucleotides) under uncultured bacterium. Its description in RNAcentral is "partial 16S ribosomal RNA". It matches the Rfam family "Bacterial small subunit ribosomal RNA", at positions 28 to 507 of the family's 1533-position model. The record is from RNAcentral.
GAUGAACGCUGGCGGCGUGCCUAAUACAUGCAAGUCGAGCGAACAGACGAGGAGCUUGCUCCUCUGACGUUAGCGGCGGACGGGUGAGUACCACGUGGAUAACCUACCUAUAAGACUGGGAUAACUUCGGGAAACCGGAGCUAAUACCGGAUAAUAUAUUGAACCGCAUGGUUCAAUAGUGAAAGACCGUCUUGCUGUCACUUAUAGAUGGAUCCGCGCCGCAUUAGCUAGUUGGUAAGGUAACGGCUUACCAAGGCGACGAUGCGUAGCCGACCUGAGAGGGUGGUCGGCCACACUGGAAGUGAGACACGGUCCAGAGUCCUACGGGAGGCAGCAGUAGGGAAUCUUCCGCAAUGGGCGAAAGCCUGACGGAGCAACGCCGGGGGAGUGAUGAAGGUCCUCGGAUCGUAAAACUCUGUUAUUAGGGAAGAACAAAUGUGUAAGUAACGAUGAACAUCUUGACGGUACCUAAUCAGAAAGCCACGGCUAACUACGUG